This 518-nucleotide ribosomal RNA is filed under the name uncultured bacterium. RNAcentral describes it as "partial 16S ribosomal RNA". It matches the Rfam family "Bacterial small subunit ribosomal RNA", at positions 28 to 523 of the family's 1533-position model. The record is from RNAcentral.
GACGAACGCUGGCGGCGUGCUUAACACAUGCAAGUCGAACGGAGGAUUUAUUUCGGUAAAUCCUUAGUGGCGAACGGGUGAGUAACGCGUGGGCAAUCUGCCCUUCAGAUGGGGACAACAUCCCGAAAGGGGUGCUAAUACCGAAUACGAUCACGCUGCCGCAUGGCGGUGUGAUGAAAGAUGGCCUCUAUUUAUAAGCUAUCGCUGAAGGAUGAGCCUGCGUCUGAUUAGCUAGUUGGUGGGGUAACGGCCUACCAAGGCGAUGAUCAGUAGCCGGUCUGAGAGGAUGAGCGGCCACAUUGGGACUGAGACACGGCCCAAACUCCUACGGGAGGAAGCAGUGGGGAAUAUUCCGCAAUGGACGAAAGUCUGACGGAGCAACGCCGCGUGAGUGAUGAAGGUUUUCGGACUGUAAAGAUCUGUUGUUUAGGACGAAAGUGCCUGUUGCAAAUAGUUACAGGUAUUGACGGUACUGAACGAGGAAGCCACGGCUAACUACGUGCCAGCCGCCGCGGUAA